Molecule: non-coding RNA, 795 nt
Organism: Arachis ipaensis
Lineage: Eukaryota; Viridiplantae; Streptophyta; Magnoliopsida; Fabales; Fabaceae
Source: RefSeq, a predicted model, not a curated record
ACAGCAAGGGGGGGGGGGAGGAGAGUUCCAAACCCUCACCAUUCCUUCCAUCCACCAUAACUUCCUCGUUUGAACUCUGAUCGCUGCACCGUUUGCGGCCACGCAUCCAGUGCGUCAAGCUCUACAUUUCUAUCAGAGUAAUUUCACUGGUUCAAUUUAGCUUGUGGAGCUUACUGGGUUUGAGUUGCUAUGCGUGUGGGAGCGGUAUGAAUUAAGUUCAUAUAUAUGCAUUGGAAGUGAAAAAUGAGUAUUUGAAGGCUUAUGGGUGAUUGAAGCUUGGUUUGUGGCUGGUUUCUUUGAGCGUUGGGGGCUGUGUUCUUGCUUGUGAGGCUGCCUUGGAUUGAAUAAAGUGAUCGGUCAAGGUUUAAUCAUGUUUUGUCCAAGUUGGAUGGUUUAACGAGCUUGAUCAAAACGGUGUUGCAACAAGUUAAUCCUUGUAUGAGUGCGGAACAAGUGCAAGUAAUGAUAGAAGCUGCCCAACAAUCUCCGCCUGAUGCAAGUAGUGCACCAAAUGAUGCGAGGCGAAGCAUUCCUCCUUCACUGGGAUCGAACCAUGUGUCAAAAGAUAUGGAAGAGGACAUGAUGUGAAGAAAAUAUGUUCUAUACAAAUAUAAGAUAGGAUGGGUCUUAUAAUGAUUUUGGUUAUCUAAAUAUAUUAUUUUGAUGUGUUCUUUACAUUUUGAUAAGAGACUUUAUCUGAUAAUACAUGUAAUGGAUAAAUUACACCCUAUUUUGAUUAGUGUUGUAAUGGAUAUCUACUUUUUAAUGAAACUUUUAUGAUUUACAUUUAUUGAA